GUCCAGUUGACGAAUCCCAAACAGGAUGAAAUGCGCGUUAUCCUGGAU
RNAcentral lists this non-coding RNA (48 nucleotides) under Trichobilharzia regenti. Lineage: Eukaryota; Metazoa; Platyhelminthes; Trematoda; Strigeidida; Schistosomatidae. The record is from RNAcentral.